Molecule: ribosomal RNA, 497 nt
Filed under: uncultured bacterium
Lineage: Bacteria
Description: partial 16S ribosomal RNA
Rfam family: Bacterial small subunit ribosomal RNA
Source: RNAcentral
GAUGAACGCUGGCGGCGUGCCUAAUACAUGCAAGUCGAGCGAACGGACGAGAAGCUUGCUUCUCUGAUGUUAGCGGCGGACGGGUGAGUAACACGUGGAUAACCUACCUAUAAGACUGGGAUAACUUCGGGAAACCGGAGCUAAUACCGGAUAAUAUGUUGAACCGCAUGGUUCAAAAGUGAAAGACGGUCUUGCUGUCACUUAUAGAUGGAUCCGCGCUGCAUUAGCUAGUUGGUAAGGUAACGGCUUACCAAGGCAACGAUGCAUAGCCGACCUGAGAGGGUGAUCGGCCACACUGGAACUGAGACACGGUCCAGACUCCUACGGGAGGCAGCAGUAGGGAAUAUUCCGCAAUGGGCGAAAGCCUGAUGGAGCAACGCCGCGUGAGUGAUGAAGGUCUUCGGAUCGUAAAACUCUGUUAUUAGGGAAGAACAUAUGUGUAAGUAACUGUGCACAUCUUGACGGUACCUAAACAGAAAGCCACGGCUAACUACGUG